GACAGAGGUCUCAAGCGUUAGGCGGAAUCACUGGGCUUAAAGCGUGUGUAGGCGGAUCGUUAAGUGCCUUGUGAAAUCCCACAGCUCAACUGUGGAACUGCUUGGCAUACUGGCGGUCUUGAGCCAUCUAGGGGUCGCUGGAACAAACGGUGGAGCGGUGAAAUGCGUAGAUAUCGUUUGGAACGCCAAUGGUGAAAACAGGCGACUGGGGAUGUGCUGACACUGAGACACGAAAGCUAGGGGAGCAAACGGG
This 253-nucleotide ribosomal RNA is filed under the name uncultured bacterium. RNAcentral's name for it is "partial 16S ribosomal RNA". It matches the Rfam family "Bacterial small subunit ribosomal RNA", at positions 524 to 776 of the family's 1533-position model. The record is from RNAcentral.